Molecule: long non-coding RNA, 3082 nt
Organism: Cydia fagiglandana
Lineage: Eukaryota; Metazoa; Arthropoda; Insecta; Lepidoptera; Tortricidae
Exons: 3
Source: RefSeq, a predicted model, not a curated record
AGUAUAAAAUUGUAUAUUCAUUUAAAAUAAAACAACAAUAGUCGUCAAAUACGCACACCGCGUAGCUGCACUCUACUAAAUAUUUUAUAAAACAAAUAUCUAACAAAAUAUUAUCUGUAAAAUAAGUAAUAUUAUACGUCUGAGGAUUCACUUACAAACUAAAUACAAUAACAACUUGUAUAUUAGGGGAGAUAUCUCACUUAUUCAUUAAUUAAAUUAUUUAACAAUAAUUAUAUUUAAGCCCGUCCCUGGUUAUCCCAAAACAAUAAAUUAUGAGCAAGUCAGGGCCAUAACCGCGAAAAUCGAAGUUCGCAAAUUGCGGGCAUCUUUGUCAAUCUAAUCACGCCUUCAUUGGAGUAAAAGAGAUAGAUCCCGGCAAUUUGCGAAUUUCUGUUUUCGUGGUAGGCCCUCAGGCUUGCGUACCCUGCAGUUGAAGUAUAGACGAUAGAAUAAUAUAAGAGGCAUAAAGUAGUGCAUUAUAUCUGUUGACAGCUAAAAAAGAUGGCGCUGUCCCGCCUGGCUCCUGUUUCACCACGCUGACAAUUGCCACCUGACAUUGACAAUUCACCGUACAUUGCUGGUUUAACAAGUAAACACUGAUGACAAUAUUAUACACCGUCGUUACUUUUACCGAUCCAGAAAUGUGGAGGAAAUUGUCAGUGUCAGCAGCACCAUCUUUACCAUAAGGGCAAAGGGAGCCCGUGCCCAGGGGACAGACAGUAACAGUAUAUUUGAUUACCCAUAAUAAAUAGAAGAUCAUAGUAGGAAAAUGUUAGUUUAAUUAAUAGCUUUCUUUACUUUCCAAAAGGGCCCCAAAUUCUUAUGUGCCCAGGGGCCCCUGUAUAGUGUGAAACGGCAAUGAGUGUCAGGUGUCAAUUGUCAAGUUAGUGAAAUAAGCGCCUGGCAUCAUAAUAUAACGCAUACGUAUUUAUAGAAAAUGCCCAUUGAAGAAACACAUGCAAUAACAUUUGGCCAUUCUGUAACCAGUAAAGGUUACGUCACACAGGCGCGUUUUCCGGGCGGCGCGUGAGCGUUUUAUAUGUAAAAGCGGCGCGCCCCGCUCUCGUCCCGCGCGGAAAACGCGUCUGUGUGACGGAACCUUAAACGUAGGCGUACAAUUUGUUAUACUACUUUGUGCGUCUUAUUAUUCUAGUCUAUGUUACCGGCUUGGUGCAUGUUGUCAUCAUGAUACAAUUUUACUUCACAACUUGUAUAGGGGGCAUAGCCAAUAUGACCAUCGUUUGCGCUACGACAAUGUAAUGCUUUUCUGUCUCUCUACCACUCUUCCCUAUUAGGCUAUUAGUGCGAUAGAGACAUAACGUUUCGUUUCUCUGCGAACGAUGGUCAUCUUGGCUACACCCCUGAGAUGAUGUCUAAAGCACCAAGCUAAAAUAAAAACAUAAAUAACAGAGCUUUAAAUAGUAUAGCCAGCCAUAAAGAUUUAACUUUAGUAUUUUGUAUAAAGUGGAAAUACAAAGUUGUUGUUUUAUGCUUACUAUACCUACUCUUUUACAGCCACCAACAGUCAUAAUUACACAAAAUAACAUCUUAGGUAUAUCUAUCGAUCAGUAGGUAUAUAUGAGUGAAUUGCAAAAAAAAUGUACGUAAUUAAUUACGCGCAAUUAAGAAGCUGUGAUUAGUCUAAACUUAAUUAAUUCAUUUGUGUUACGAAAAUUAACUAUGUAAAUUGUAUUAUAUUGUACUUAAUUCAUACACAUAUAAGCGUAUCAGUGGCGGCGUGUCCAUAAAAGCCGAUUCCCACCGGCUUGCCUGUUUUUGGACGUUUGAGCAGAGUUGUAAAGGAAAUAUGUAAGCCAAAUUAGCCCCGGCUUGCCUAUGGAUAUGUUUGACGCGCCGCUACUGAAGUGUAUAGCAUACGCUAACACACUUUCAUGCAUCUAACUUAAAUAGAAAUGUCUUAACUGUCGUAACACAAUGGAAUCAAUUAACUUUAGACUAAUUACAGGUGCUUAACUAUGUAAGUUUUUCUUUGCGAUUCACUCUUAUAUUUUACAUGCAAAGCUCGGGGAGGUUGUGUGGGCGAAUAGUGCUGCCAAGUAAUUCCUCGAAGCUCGUGCUCAUGUCUCAUGUAGUGUCUUUAUGUAGAUAUGUCUGUUGGUCGCUGUCAGCAAUUGAGCUAUUAGAAUGUAUGUGUCAGUAACCUAAAGUAAUCCUAAUGAGUAUGGCACAACGCUGUAACAACUAUACAAAAUAUACACAGAAUAAAACAAAUAUUUGAAACAAGACACAUUUGGUAUGUCUCUACUGAUACAUCCCAAUCCAAGCUAUUAUAUACCUUGGACUACUAGAAUCUGACAAAUGGUUCAAGAAUGUUAAAUUCACAAAAUGCACGAUUAAAAAGCUUGUGACAAGAGUUUUAUUACUUGGGCCAAGAUUAAGCAUAUCGAAUCAAAACUAACCUUUUUUAUUUGAUAAUUUGUUAUUUGAUACAAGAAACUACUUCUUGGCUCAAGAUAAUAUAAGACAUAUUUCUUGGACGAAGACAUUUUUCGAGUUUCCUUAAUAUCAUAGCAUGUCUUGGUUCAAAAAUUUGUUUUAUCUGUGUAUGAGCACACUCUCACACUAUAUCUAAAAGUCAAGUUCCACCGCGGGCCUGUACCCUAUGGAAACGUAUGAAACGUGUCACACACACACGCACACUCGACCCGCGAGCGAUCACACAAUAUCACAAUCAUCUUGUUACUAAAACUAAAGUAUUCCGGAGUACAAUUACAAGCUAUUGAUAGAAACGAGUAUGAAAUGCUUCAAGCACAGACUUAAAUAUUUAAGUCUGUGGCUUCAACCCCGCAUUGCUACAGGAAUGCUGCCUCACCAUAACAACCGUAGCAUUUGAAAACUCAUUCAAUCGUUUUCUGUAUUUUAGCGCAACUAGUUCCAAGUUCAAAUCACGGUCCUAACAUAGUACAUUUAUUUUCUAGAUUUUUCUGUAAAGACACCGAGGCCCAAGUUUCAGUCUCGCAUCGCGCUUGGCUCCUAUCCAAGAUGGCGGCCGGCGCAUCGGGAUAACUGCCGAACGCCGCUCCGAACCAAAACAAAACCGAGAUCACAACUCUAUCUCACU